UACAGAGGUCCCAAGCGUUGUUCGGAUUCACUGGGCGUAAAGGGUGCGUAGGCGGUCGGGUAAGUCUGGCGUGAAAUCUCCAAGCCUAACUUGGAAACUGCGUUGGAUACUAUCCGGCUCGAGGAAUGGAGGGGAGACUGGAAUACUUGGUGUAGCAGUGAAAUGCGUAGAUAUCAAGUGGAACACCGGUGGCGAAGGCGGCAUCCUGGACCGGUAUUGACGCUGAGGCGCGAAAGCUAGGGGAGCAAACGGG
Molecule: ribosomal RNA, 253 nt
Filed under: uncultured bacterium
Lineage: Bacteria
Description: partial 16S ribosomal RNA
Rfam family: Bacterial small subunit ribosomal RNA
Source: RNAcentral